Molecule: long non-coding RNA, 536 nt
Filed under: Vombatus ursinus (common wombat)
Lineage: Eukaryota; Metazoa; Chordata; Mammalia; Diprotodontia; Vombatidae
Description: lncRNA (ENSVURG00010019584.1)
Source: RNAcentral
GGCUAGUUGUGGUAUUGCUGGAUCAAAGGGUGUUAUAAGAUAAGUUCAGAGCAGUGUUAGCUUACUGCUUUAAAAUUCUUUGUUUUGCUUUUCUAGAGAAGAAUAUUUUCACUUCUGUCUUUAAAAAGAUUUCUUUUCUGCUGGAAAGCAGUGAAGCUGCAGAAAAGGAAAACAUCAUAGCUAAAGAAACUACCACCACAAUGGAAAACCUUCCUAAUGAUGAUUUUAUUCUAGAAUGUCUCUGGAGAACCAGAAAAAUGGAAUUGAAAAGACAGGAGCUGGCCAUGCAAGCAGCCUGGGAAUGUAAAGCUCAGAAAUUUCUCACUGAAAUCAGAGAGAUACAUGCCAUGGAAAAGAAGGAAACUUCAAAAGAACAAAACAUGACUGAGAAUGAAAACAUAAUUUAUGAUGCUCCAACUCUAGCAUAUUUCCGGAGAAUCAGAGAAAAUGCAUUCAAAAAACUAGAGUUGGAAAGAAAUACAGCCUGGGAAGAAAAAGCCCUGAAAUUGAUCAGUGAAUUGAAAGAGAUGUGUGCC